RNAcentral lists this long non-coding RNA (2246 nucleotides) under Bemisia tabaci. Its description in RNAcentral is "lncRNA ENSSSA3NGG006648". Lineage: Eukaryota; Metazoa; Arthropoda; Insecta; Hemiptera; Aleyrodidae. The record is from RNAcentral.
CCGUUCCGUCUUUGUUGUCCGCGGUCCUCCCGGUUGCGCCGUCACGUCACGUCACGUAACGUAACGUCACGUAUCGCGAGGUUUUCCGGUACGGGUGUCCGAAUCGUACGCCGAAAACAGUAAAAGGACAAAACAAGAAAAUUGCGGGAAAUCGUGCCGGAUCGAACGAUGAGCGUUUAGAUUGGAAUCGGGCUUUGUAAAAAGGGGUUGUUUGCCGUCACGCAAGGAGCACGUUUUCGCGCCAUUUUUUGAUACGAGUGUGCCGAUAACAAAAGGCGAAAAAAAUUUACCGGCUCAACCAUUUUUAUUUAAAUCGGAUGUAGUAAAAAGGGAUUUUAAAGAAAAAUUUUAUAAGAAAAUCGGGUAUAAGUUCAUUAUAAAGUUUGUACAAAGAUACAUCGUGGACCCCUUUCUAGAAAGUCGAUUCUUUUGUAGGGUUCAGUCGCUUUCUAUAGACGGACCGAGAAGUUCAAAAAUCUAAUCGUAAUUGCCGUACGCUGAUUGUAAAUCGUAGUGAAACAUCGAUGCAAUAAGUACAGGAUCACACAGUGACCAUUUUAUUUGCAUAGAAUUUAGUGACAUUUUUCAUUCAAUAUAUACCUAAGAUACUGUGAAUUUCUCCGUGUCCAGGAAUAUCUUCUUUGCCUUAUUACUCGUUAUCAUCCCGAUUUUUGAGUGUCGUGCGAUUUUUGAUCAACGUUUCCCGCUGGCAAAGUUGUUGAACACAAACCCGCGAAAGUGUUUUUUAUCAAGUGCGCAACAAUCUGGAACUUGCAGAUUUACAGUUUGUGAAUUUGCAUGAACAACGGUUUUCCUCGGCGUUGCAAAUAAAAGUGAAAUAGUUAAGGAUGCAGUCAUUACGUUAUGUGAAGCAUUCAGAUUUUUCCUGACGAUCUGUUUUUUUAAUAUACGGGGAAAUUAGGGGCAGAAAUCACCUCCGUUUGCUUGAAGUCAGACCACCACCUCAAAACCUCCCAAAACGAAUCACCCAAACCUGCAAAAUCGCAUACAUGUGCAAUUUCUUAAUUUUUUCAGCGUAAUGUAUGAACAUAAAUUAUAGUUCGUCUGAAUUCAUUUUAAGAAAAAUAUUGAUGAAAAGCCGACAAGAUAAAAGGAAAGAAUACAUAAAUGUACGAUUUUCACACCGUUGAUAAAAACAAUUUAUGCUCGCACUGUCCAGGUCUGACACUUACUUUUGAGUAGAAACACGGGCAAUUCUAUCAAGUUGGUAACACUGCUCGUGCUUCAUUCAGAAAUAAUCAAAUAUCGGCAAGCCUGCGUGGCUUGAUUUCAGGGACGAAUCACAGUGGUACCAACUUGUCAGAAUCGUCACUGGUAAAAGAACUCUAUUUGAAGAGGAAUUUCGUACAGAUAAUAUCAUGGUGUUUUAAAUAUAAGUUUUUUCAAGGGGAUCUCUCUAAAAACCGAUUACUUCUGCACUAGUGCGUAUGGUUUUUUCCUUUUUUUUAUAUGUUCCUUUUUUUCUCUUAUUUUGGAGGGGUGGAAGAGCUGUGUUUUCCCGGUUCAAUCUGAUAUUUCCGAAUUUCUACUUCUAAAUAUUGUUCAUUUUCUAUUUUAUUUUUAUCCAAUGAGUCUCGUGCACACACACAGUCUACAUAGUCCAAAAAUUACACAAAUCCAGACAAAUAUAUUUUGCAACAUGCCACCUUAAGACUCAGUUGAAAACAUAAAGACGUAAUUUUUAAUACACGCUCAAAAUUAUUGUGUAUACGCAUGGGGCCCAGAAAACUGCGACAAAAUUAAGGCGCUCCAUCAUUCAACGAUGCGGCAGAUUAAGCGGGCUUUCUUUGGAAGAAUUUAUAGUUUUCAUUCAUGUUGCUUGGAUUUGUUCGUUUUAAAUUUUUAGCUUGUAUUAAAUGUCAGGUUUUCCUUAGUUUUAUUUUUAAAUCAGUGAAAGGCGACACUUGGAAACGUCUCAGUUUUAAUGAAGGUUGACUUCUAUCUCAACAGUUUUCCUUUUGCGUAUUUUGGAGCGGAGUUUCCAAACCUCUGAUGGAUAAGACAGUCCAAGGGAAAGAAAAAUCUUGAUUUUUAGUAGUUUAGGUUCUUAGGUUUUGAUUGAGUGGUUUGGAGUACAGUUUAUGUGCCUUUAGGGGGUAUCUCGCGAUCCAUGCAUGAGCUAAAUUUCUCGAAAAAAAACACUUUAAAAUCGUUUGAAAUAGAUCAUAAAAAUUAUGAAAUUCCAUUGAGCCGGAAAUAUUAUUUACACUGAAAAUAAAUGGCUU